UUCCCAGCAACCACAUAGUGGCUCCCAACCAUGUAUAAUGGGAUCUGAUGCCCUCUUCUGUCAUGCAGGCACACAUGCAGAUAGAGCACUCAUAUGCAUAAAUAAGUAAAUCUUAAAAAAUAAAUAAAAUAAAAAUGAAACAUAUUUCAUAAGCUAUAGAGAUAUGGGUGAUACUGAUCCUAGGAAAGAUUCUCAAAUAAAAUACAAGGGUUAUGUGUAACUAGACAGAACAAGAGAACGGGAAGUUGUCAGUCAGACUCACUGUGGGUUUACUGAGAACAAGUCAUAUCAAAACAAUUUAAUUUCCUUCUAUGAUGAGGUUACUAAAUUGACAAAUAACAAAAUACAGAUAAUGUGUAACUUCAGCAAGUUUUUUAACAAAAUCUGUCAUUAUACCUUUGGGGAUAAAAUAGAGAAAAUGACCAGAAGGAUAAUGUAAUGAGGUGGUCUUCAAGAGUCAGUGGUACUGGUGAGUAGAGCCCCAUAGCCUAGAAUUCAUUUCCUAUUGAUGGAGCUAAGUGAUUUAUCCUUGAUCUUGCCCUAUUCAAUGUUCUUGACACUAAUUUCAUUCAAAACUAGAGAACAUUGUGGCCAUCAAUUGUGUGGAUGGCACAGACCUGGGACAGUGUACAAGGACUGGGCAGAAUUGAGACCUAAAAAGAACCAGAUGAGUGAGCCAAACCUAAUGAAAAGAAUAAAUGUUGGAUUAUGCACUCAGGCCAAAAAUUAUCUGGGAAAGUUUAAGAUUAUAAAGAUGUAAUUUGGUCACAUUACCAUGGGGUAGGGAGAGAGAGAGAGAUUUAAACAUUGCAGCAAAGAAAAAAAAAUCCAGUAUGAGUUAUUCAUGCCAAAAAGCAAUACAAUCUUAAGCUAGUUUGGUUGAAUGAAGUCUCUAGAAUAAGGAGGUAAUUGAUUUCACUCUGCUUGGUUCAUUCCGCAUCUUCAGUAUUCCAUCUCAAGCAGCAAUCAAGAGAUGAAAAAAUCCGAGGCCAGAUCACAUGGGAAACGGUUAGAGGGAACAGGCGGAUUUUGUCAAGAGAAGGGAUGAUCUGAAGAAAGAACAGAUGUGUACAAAAUACUUGGCUUAAGGGACCAUCACAUGAAUGAAGGGUCAGAUUAGUUUUCUGAGCUCCAAGAACAAACAGGACCAGCGAGUUCAAACUAUAGGGAGGAAGAUUCCAGAGUUAUAUUGAGGGGGGGGGGGGGGACACCACUAUAAUCAGGAUUGUCCAGAUGUGAAGAGUCCCUGGAAAGGUACAGAACAUGCUGUCCCUGGAUGUCCAAAGAUAAGUUAUACACUAUUUUCAGAGAUCUCAUAGAGGAGAUGAACGUUCUCACUGGAUAGCGAAAGAAAGAUUAAGCUUCCAGCUACACCUAUGGGAAACAAGAAUGCCGGCUUCCUCCUCCCCACCUCUACUCCUGAACUUUCUGUGGUGACAUUCAGGGAUCUCUCAUCUAUGCCCUCGCUUUGUGUUAAGAGGAGGUGCUACAUAUCAGGAAGCAUGGAGGCUCUCAAAAACCUAGCUUAUCAGUCUCCAAACAACAUCCUAUGGUCAUGUUACUUUAUAAAAUAUGUAAUUUGAUCCCCACACUGUGAGGUGGACAGGAAAGACAUCAUUGGAAAACUGAGGCUCAGAGAAAAUCACUCCAAGCAAAUUAGAGGUAAAAUGGGAAGCCAAACCCAGGUCUUCGGGCUCCUGGGACAAAACACCUGGUACCCUGACCUGAGGAGUUUUGCUGACACAGAGAAGACAGAGCCUGGAGCUUUGAAGGCAGGGUUUUAAGGCUAUGGACUCCAGGGCCCUAGAGACUUUGGCUACCCACUAGCUUUUCUUUGUUGCCUCUGGCUGUUGUGUUUGCCGCCUCCAGCUGUGUGUCUCCGUCGCCAGCCCUUGUAUCUGCCACCUCCAGCUGUGAUCCGAAGUUCCCAGCUGUUAUGCCACCUCCUACAGCCAAGCCACUUUGUUCUCAGGGGUGGCCAGACUCAGAAACAGAUAAACAAUCAGCAAGCUCCACCCCCAAGCUGGCCAGGCCUCUGGGGGAAAGGAAGCCAGCCAAAGUUCUGGAAGUGGUUUGCGGCUGCCCGACCAAAAAACAUACAUCCUGUUUCCUCUAGAGGGUGCACUUUCUCCAACACAGUCCCAACCACGCCGUGGGGUUGGCAUUCUAAAGAGCAGCCUGAACAAUGAGACGACGGAAUCCGGCUGUCUGCCUCCUUUCUUCUAUGAGAAGUGAGCUAAUUCUUUCCCUAAAGCAAAGGUCAGCCCUGAGGACGGUGAUGUUCAUUCCUCCAGCAAACUCUAGGUCUAUCUUUGGUUUCACACUGUCAGCUCCCCCUAGAGCUAGAUUUCCUAACCUACAAGCACUUUUAUUUUAUGCCAGCCACGUAUGCUCGCAGAGUGAAUGGAUUUAUCACCGCCUUUCUCAAGUGCUUGAUCGUUCACGAGACAAGACAGCUCUUGUGACUGAAAUUGGCCAAGGUCCUCCAUUGUUUUUAGGAUAAACUGCAAGCCUUUGGCAUGGCAGUCGAGAGACCAGGCUGGCCUUGAAGAGAUCCACCUGCCUCUGCCUCCAGAGUGCUGGGACUAAAGCCACCACACCUGGCUUCUACUCACUUCUUGGCCUUACCCUUGACAGUCUUCUACACAUCCUUAGCCUUCAGCUCUACGGAAAAACCCCAUGGUCUGAUUCUUUCCACCUUUGGAUCUGCUUUUGUACGGCUCAACUCCCUGCCUGUGUGACGACCUCCCGCCUGCCUUUCACAGCCUGGACCAAGUGUUUAGUGAUGCCUUUGGAAGCCUUCCUCACACUCAGGGGAAUAGUUUUUCUCUGUGUCCCUACCCCCGCAUCACCCUGACACGAGUUUUCUAAGCAUGCUCUUGCCUGAAUUCCACUUUAUAAUACCACAGUGCUUUGCAAUGUUUAUUUGCCUUUAUUUGCCAUCUGUGAACUCUUAAUUGAAGGCCAUGGACUAUGUAUGCCUGUAUCUGUUCCACCAGAAGCAAGUCUUUUUCAAGACCGAGGGAGAAAUGACUAAAGGUGCCGUCUGGACAGGUCUGAGCGGGGCUGCCGCCUUGAUGCACCACACCGGAGAUGACCUCCUGAAGACCUUCAGGAGGAGCUGUGACAGGGAAGAGGGGAUCCAAGCUCACUCAGGCAUGACUAAUGCUGCAAAUGUCUGCAGAUCCUUUCAGAAGGUGAAGGAAAGACAGCUCAGAGACGUCAGUGCCAACCCUUCUGUGGGUCAGCUGACUUGGGGGGCAGGGCAGGAGCGUGGUAAAAGAGUGGGUUUUAACACUGCUGCAUGGGGACUGGGAAGGUUAAGUUAAGUUAGCAGAGGGCUUGCAUGGCAUGCAUGAGGCCCUGCGUUUGGUCCCCAACAGUGCAUAAAGCAGAAAUGGUGGCACAGCUGUGAUCCCAAUGCUCAGGAGGUUGAGCCAAGAGAAUGAGAGGUUCGAGGUUAUCCUUGGCUACGUAGCAAGUCUAAAGCCAGACUGGGCUACCUGAGACCCUGUCUCAAAAGUUAAGAAAUGGCUCAGAGGUUAAGCGCACUGGCUGCUCUUUCAGAGGUCCUGAGUUCAAUUCCCAGCAACCAUAUGGUGGCUCACAACCAUCUGUAAUGAGCUCUGGUGCCCUCUUCUGGUAUGCAGGCAUACAUGGAGGCAGAAUGUUGUAUACAUAAUAAAUAAAUAAAUCUUUUAAAAAA
This is a long non-coding RNA of Peromyscus californicus insignis, 3706 nucleotides long. RefSeq lists it as uncharacterized. NCBI's taxonomy places the organism in Eukaryota, Metazoa, Chordata, Mammalia, Rodentia, Cricetidae. The record is from RefSeq and is a predicted model, not a curated record. The transcript has 2 exons.